Anolis carolinensis (green anole) is the source of this 581-nucleotide long non-coding RNA. RefSeq lists it as uncharacterized. The transcript is spliced from 2 exons. The record is from RefSeq and is a predicted model, not a curated record. NCBI's taxonomy places the organism in Eukaryota, Metazoa, Chordata, Lepidosauria, Squamata, Anolidae.
CCCAGGCGCCGCCGCCGCCGCCGUGGCCACCAAGUGCGCAUGCGUGGGUUGGAACGCGCCGUCCUGAGGGCUGAUCCAGGCGCGGAUAAGGAGCCUCCACGCCCGCGGAAGGUACGCUGCGUCCGCGUCCUUAUUGGCAGCCGUUUCCAUUCUUAAAACCUUCACGACCGUCGCUUUCAUAGGGAGCUUGUCUUCCGUGACACCAUCAAUCUGGAGCAAGACUUCUGGGUCCGAAGACAACGUCUCUGCGGACAAAAAGAAAACUGUUUAAAACAGGCUGACGUUCACGUGAAAAAAAAACAGGUAUUAAUAACACAGGGAAGGUACGGUCCUCAGGCAAAGCUGCAUAGAAUUGUAUAUACAGCACAACCAACACUGAACUGGACCUGUCAACAGAUCGGCAGCCAUUGGAAGAACAGAGCCCAAGAAACGUCAAGGUGUUGACGCAACAUGAUGGUAGAACCUUGUAUUUUUCAUGAUAUUUUAUCCUCCUGCUUACAGUGUUCUUUCUACAAAAGCAAUAUAUUUAUCUUGAAAGAGACCGACAUAUGAAAUAAAAUGCAAAAAGGGAUAAAUGAAAA